This 637-nucleotide ribosomal RNA is filed under the name uncultured bacterium. Its description in RNAcentral is "bacterial SSU rRNA". It matches the Rfam family "Bacterial small subunit ribosomal RNA", at positions 607 to 1244 of the family's 1533-position model. The record is from RNAcentral.
GCUCAACCGAGGAAGUGCUUUGAAAACUGGUAAACUUGAGUGCAGAAGAGGAAAGUGGAACUCCAUGUGUAGCGGUGGAAUGCGUAGAUAUAUGGAAGAACACCAGUGGCGAAGGCGGCUUUCUGGUCUGUAACUGACGCUGAGAUUCGAAAGCAUGGGUAGCAAACAGGAUUAGAUACCCUGGUAGUCCAUGCCGUAAACGAUGAGUGAUAAGUGUUGGAGGGUUUCCGUCCUUCAGUGCUGCAGCUAACGCAUUAAGCACUCCGCCUGGGGAGUACGAUCGCAAGAUUGAAACUCAAAGGAAUUGACGGGGGCCCGCACAAGCGGUGGAGCAUGUGGUUUAAUUCGAAGCAACGCGAAGAACCUUACCAGGCCUUGACAUACCAUGAAAAGCUAAGAGAUUAGUCUUUCCCUUCGGGGACAUGGAUACAGGUGGUGCAUGGUUGUCGUCAGCUCGUGUCGUGAGAUGUUGGGUUAAGUCCCGCAACGAGCGCAACCCUUAUUAUCAGUUGCCAGCAUUCAGUUGGGCACUCUGGUGAGACUGCCGGUGACAAACCGGAGGAAGGUGGGGACGACGUCAAAUCAUCAUGCCCCUUAUGACCUGGGCUACACACGUGCUACAAUGGUCGGUACAACG